This 468-nucleotide ribosomal RNA is filed under the name uncultured bacterium. RNAcentral's name for it is "partial 16S ribosomal RNA". It matches the Rfam family "Bacterial small subunit ribosomal RNA", at positions 28 to 507 of the family's 1533-position model. The record is from RNAcentral.
GACGAACGCUGGCGGCGUGCUUAACACAUGCAAGUCGAACGGAAAGGCCCUGCUUUUGUGUGGUGCUCGAGUGGCGAACGCGUGAGUAACACGUGAGUAACCUGCCCUUUACUUUGUGAUAACUUUAGGAAACUGGGGCUAAUACCCGAUAUGAGCUCCUGCUGCAUGGUGGGGGUUGGAAAGAUUCGGCGGUUUGGGAUGGACUCGAGGAUUAUGAGCUUCUUUGGGGGGUAGUGACUUACCAAGGGUUUGACGGGUAGCCGGCCUGAGAGCGUUACCGGCCACAUUGGGACUGAGGUAGGGACCAGACUCCUACCGGAGGCAGCAGUGGGGAAUAUUGCACAAUGGGCGGAAGCAAGAUGCAGAAAUGUCGCGUGCGGGAUGACGGGCUACGGGUUGUAAACAGAUUUAGAAUGUGACGAAGAGAGAGUGACGGUAAUGGGUAAGGAAGCACCGGCUAACUACGUG